UCCAACAAGAAGAAAAUCUAAUUGAAAUAUACUAAAAUAUUACUUCUAAGUAGUUGCAAAGGUCUCUUUACCACUUUCUUUACCUUGCCUUGUACCACCCCAACCUUCAUCACCCGACAUCUAAAAAAAUUGUAUGAUAACUAACAUGUACAAAUAAUGAAGUUCUCUAGAUUAUUGUCCUCGCCAAUUAUUUACUUCUAUCGUACAAAUCUUCUCACAAAAAAUUCCCUGCAAUAGGACCAAUCCCACAAAAGAGAAUCUGAUGACUAUCCAUGCAAUUAGUUUUUGAAGGACUGCAACCAAAAAGACCUAUUGUUUUGUCAAAAAAAAAGUAGCAAAUUUAAGCACAAUACCUCUAUAGGAGAUAUGACAUUCCUAAAUGGAUCCAAUGGUGCAUUUUCCCCAUAAAGCAAAUAGUUGUCAUAAGUAAGUGACUUUGCAGAAUCUGGUGCUUGAGGCAAAUCUCUAGAAGACACUUCUGAUACUUCAGCACUCUUG
Molecule: long non-coding RNA, 498 nt
Filed under: Solanum tuberosum (potato)
Lineage: Eukaryota; Viridiplantae; Streptophyta; Magnoliopsida; Solanales; Solanaceae
Description: long non-coding RNA (STUB_LNC011624)
Source: RNAcentral